This 192-nucleotide ribosomal RNA is filed under the name uncultured bacterium. RNAcentral describes it as "partial 16S ribosomal RNA". It matches the Rfam family "Bacterial small subunit ribosomal RNA", at positions 340 to 524 of the family's 1533-position model. The record is from RNAcentral.
UACGGGAGGCAGCAGUAGGGAAUCUUCCGCAAUGGACGCAAGUCUGACGGAGCAACGCCGCGUGAGUGAAGAAGGUUUUCGGAUCGUAAAACUCUGUUGUAAGAGAAGAACAAAUUGUAGAGUAACUGCUACAGUCUUGACGGUAUCUUACCAGAAAGCCACGGCUAACUACGUGCCAGCAGCCGCGGUAAU